UGGAAGUAAAAAUCGUAACAAGGUUUCCGUAGGUGAACCUGCGGAAGGAUCAUUACUGAGUGGCUGUAUUCGUGCUUCUCUUCGGAGACGCGAAGCUACCCGACCUGAUGUCAUUUUAUCCGAGGGCGCGCCCGCUUGAGAAGACAGCGGUUUGACGUUGUGGUGUUACCCGGACGAGGCGCUUGUCUCGUAAGGGGAAGCUUCCGGGUCGGGCCGUGGCGCGUUCCUUGGCACAACUUUCCGCGGAAGUGGUAGGCGUUGACUUGCCCGCCGCGGGCCAUACUUUUCACAACUCUCGAAGAAAACCUGAAGUCUGAAUACCAAAACAAAAACGAAAAGCAAAACUUUCAACAACGGAUCUCUUGGCUCUGGCAACGAUGAAGAACGCAGCGAAACGCGAAAGGUAAUGCGAAUUGCAGAAUCAGUGAGUCAUCGAAUCUUUGAACGCACAUUGCGCCUCUCGGUAUUCCGGGAGGCACGCCUGUUCGAGCGCCAUUACAAACUCCAAGCGUGGCUUGAUGUUGGGCGAUGUCUUUUUGCGAGAGCGGGAGACACGCCUGGAACGCGUUGGCGCCGCCGCCGGACCACGAGCGUAGCAAGACGAGAGUCAAUCGCAUCGAUUUGGUUUCCGACGGAGGUCCGCCUUGUGACUGCACUUUCGAGUGUAGUUGAAAAACUUCUCAAGUUGGC
This 690-nucleotide unclassified non-coding RNA is filed under the name Scolecobasidium mirabile. RNAcentral's name for it is "Ochroconis mirabilis sequence contains 18S rRNA gene, ITS1, 5.8S rRNA gene and ITS2". The stretch from base 343 to 495 matches the Rfam family "5.8S ribosomal RNA". The record is from RNAcentral. Lineage: Eukaryota; Fungi; Ascomycota; Dothideomycetes; Venturiales; Sympoventuriaceae.